This is a long non-coding RNA of Dendroctonus ponderosae (mountain pine beetle), 442 nucleotides long. RefSeq lists it as uncharacterized. The record is from RefSeq and is a predicted model, not a curated record. NCBI's taxonomy places the organism in Eukaryota, Metazoa, Arthropoda, Insecta, Coleoptera, Curculionidae. The transcript has 2 exons.
CAAAUUGAUGUUUUAAUUUCUGUAUAUAACUCGAAACAUAUUUGYGCCGAAGAUGCACAAAAUGAAGAUGAAACUAGGAUGCGCCAAMGAAAAUGGUGGUGGCCACUUUAUUUCUAUUUUCUAGAUGUUUCGGUUGUAAAUUUAUGGAUUCUUAUGAAAAAUUACAAUCUAAAUAAUGAAAAAUGUAGAAAGAAUAGCUCCCGUGCCCUUAGGAGACGUAAGAUGCGAUGGAAAUAAUCAUUGGCCAGACUAUUCUGAUACAAAUAAGAGGUGUAGGCAGUGUGGAAAGAAAUCAAAUUAUGUUCCAAAUGUAAUAUUAGAUUACGUCCAAAAAAUAAAAAAUUGUUUAAAAAAUUAUCAUGUUUGUUAAAUCCUAACUGUUUUACAGGUACAGUGUCCCCUGACCCUUUAAAUUUCUUUUAAUAAACUUUUUUGCAAAACA